Molecule: long non-coding RNA, 202 nt
Filed under: Ananas comosus (pineapple)
Lineage: Eukaryota; Viridiplantae; Streptophyta; Magnoliopsida; Poales; Bromeliaceae
Description: long non-coding RNA (ACOM_LNC041602)
Source: RNAcentral
UCCUGCAAAAACCACAGUGAAAAUUCUACUCCUGAAAGAAUAUGAUAAGCCCAAAUCAUCCAAUGCAAAAUCAUAGUCCCCAAAAAUCUCAAUCAAAUUCCAAUUUACACAUUUUACUUAUCGCCAAAAUCGCGUUUCCUAGUAGCCUCCUCGAUCACAAUCUCUUCCCAAGCUCCCUCUCGUCUUCUUUCUCUCUCUGUAU